AUCUAAAUAGUUUAAUUGAAAAUAUUGGUUUGUGGUGCCGAUGAUAUAAAUUUUUUAUUUUGGAUU
Molecule: transfer RNA, 66 nt
Filed under: Mirocapritermes sp. 1 TB-2017
Lineage: Eukaryota; Metazoa; Arthropoda; Insecta; Blattodea; Termitidae
Description: tRNA-His
Rfam family: tRNA
About the family: Transfer RNA (tRNA) molecules are approximately 80 nucleotides in length.
Source: RNAcentral